UACGGAGGGUGCGAGCGUUGUCCGGAUUUAUUGGGUUUAAAGGGUGCGUAGGUUGCCUGGUCAGUCAGCGGUGAAAGACCCCCGCUCAACGGGGGCAGUGCCAUUGAUACUGCCGGGCUUGGAUCGGGUUGAGGCCGCCGGAACGGAUGGUGUAGCGGUGAAAUGCAUAGAUAUCAUCCAGAACACCGAUUGCGAAGGCAGGUGGCUGUGCCCUAGAUCGACACUGAUGCACGAAAGCAUGGGUAGCAAA
This 250-nucleotide ribosomal RNA is filed under the name uncultured bacterium. RNAcentral's name for it is "partial 16S ribosomal RNA". It matches the Rfam family "Bacterial small subunit ribosomal RNA", at positions 524 to 772 of the family's 1533-position model. The record is from RNAcentral.